Molecule: long non-coding RNA, 410 nt
Organism: Vespa mandarinia (Asian giant hornet)
Lineage: Eukaryota; Metazoa; Arthropoda; Insecta; Hymenoptera; Vespidae
Gene: Hao
Source: RefSeq, a predicted model, not a curated record
AUUCCAGUGUUUUAACUACGAAGUCUUCAUGUGGCGCCAAUGGCUCAUUCCCAUACGUUCUACAUGUUUGCGUCCUUCCUUGAUAGAGAUCACCGUCAAGCCAGAGGCCAAAUUUACCACUACAAAUAAUAUUCAAUCAUAAGAAAAACUUACUCUCCAGCACCUAUGGCAAGGCUCUCAUUGUUGCCUUUGAUGAAGUAAAGAUUAUCACCGGUCCAAUUGAAAGCUUGGAACCUUGGUGUGAACCUAAAGAGUAAGGACUCGCCGGUACCAUAGAAGUGAUCGCUCACGUGUAGAGCACACGAAGUCAAUGCUCCGAACACCUGUAACAUUAAUUAUUAUCACCUGUUGAGUUUAUGUAUAAUAUAUAUAUAUAUAAAAUGUGAGAAUAAAAAAAGAUCUCAACUUUU